Molecule: non-coding RNA, 123 nt
Filed under: Scrippsiella hangoei
Lineage: Eukaryota; Dinophyceae; Peridiniales; Peridiniaceae
Source: RNAcentral
GGCGAAGGCGAAGGCCAGGGUCGCGGCGAUGACGCCGACUUCGGCAGCCAGAGAGACAUUGAGGCAGGCUUCACAGGAGAACAACGUACCGCUGCCUGCGACGGCGGACGACGCGCUGAGGCU